UCUGUGCCAGCAGCCGCGGUAAUACAGAGGGUGCAAGCGUUAAUCGGAAUUACUGGGCGUAAAGCGCACGCAGGCGGUUUGUUAAGCUAGAUGUGAAAGCCCCGGGCUCAACCUGGGAUGGUCAUUUAGAACUGGCAGACUAGAGUCUUGGAGAGGGGAGUGGAAUUCCAGGUGUAGCGGUGAAAUGCGUAGAUAUCUGGAGGAACAUCAGUGGCGAAGGCGACUCCCUGGCCAAAGACUGACGCUCAUGUGCGAAAGUGUGGGGAGCGAACAGGAUUAGAUACCCUGGUAGUCCAUGCCGUAAACGUUGGGCGCUAGGUGUGG
This 324-nucleotide ribosomal RNA is filed under the name Asterionellopsis glacialis. RNAcentral describes it as "partial Bacterial small subunit ribosomal RNA". It matches the Rfam family "Bacterial small subunit ribosomal RNA", at positions 502 to 825 of the family's 1533-position model. Lineage: Eukaryota; Bacillariophyta; Plagiogrammaphyceae; Rhaphoneidales; Asterionellopsidaceae. The record is from RNAcentral.